RNAcentral lists this long non-coding RNA (632 nucleotides) under Malus domestica (apple). RNAcentral describes it as "long non-coding RNA (MDOM_LNC001723)". Lineage: Eukaryota; Viridiplantae; Streptophyta; Magnoliopsida; Rosales; Rosaceae. The record is from RNAcentral.
GGAAAUAUUUGAAGCAUCUAAUUGGGUUAAAAAAAUUUGACGAACAUUUUAUUCUCCAAGAAACAAUGAAACUUCAUUGUGAUAAUUAAAUGUGCAAAUAAUUUCGGAUUGAUUUGAUUUUUGCAAGAUUGAUAUAUGAAUCGAGACUUACAAAAUAGAUGAUUUGGAUCGGUGAAGUUCAAUGUGGAGUGAUUCCCACAACUAAUCCAUCCCUUCUCUUAGAGCAUCUUCAAAGGAUACGUCAAAUUCAAAACAUCAAAUUUAAAUUUGAUGGCUGACUUGGCAAUUUGACAUAUUGUCAAUAUUUUCCUUCCACCAGUAUGCCAAAUUUUAUUGCUUCACUUAUGUUUUUUUUUUAAACAUAAAUAAUAAAAGUUGGGUUGUUAUUGGUUUAAAAAUAAUAAAAUAAUACUUAAAUGUGCUAGCAUUUAUGGUAAGGCAAGUGGAAAUCCUUUAGAAAUAGCAAAAAUCAAAUUUGAAUGUAACUUCAAAUUUGACAUCUCUUUGUCUAUGUUAGCUUAGUCUUCUUUUCCAUGUCAUCUUUGAUAUCUCGGUUGGAGUAAAUGGUAUGUCAUUUAUUACCGUUAUAUAUUUAAGUGACAUUUUUUACAACUCCUUUGAAAAUUAUCCUA